RNAcentral lists this ribosomal RNA (465 nucleotides) under Vreelandella stevensii. Its description in RNAcentral is "partial 16S ribosomal RNA". It matches the Rfam family "Bacterial small subunit ribosomal RNA", at positions 338 to 795 of the family's 1533-position model. Lineage: Bacteria; Pseudomonadati; Pseudomonadota; Gammaproteobacteria; Oceanospirillales; Halomonadaceae. The record is from RNAcentral.
CCUACGGGUGGCAGCAGUGGGGAAUAUUGGACAAUGGGCGAAAGCCUGAUCCAGCCAUGCCGCGUGUGUGAAGAAGGCCUUCGGGUUGUAAAGCACUUUCAGUGGGGAAGAAAGCCUGGGGGCUAAUACCCUCGAGGAAGGACAUCACCCACAGAAGAAGCACCGGCUAACUCCGUGCCAGCAGCCGCGGUAAUACGGAGGGUGCGAGCGUUAAUCGGAAUUACUGGGCGUAAAGCGCGCGUAGGCGGUCUGAUAAGCCGGUUGUGAAAGCCCCGGGCUCAACCUGGGAACGGCAUCCGGAACUGUCAGGCUAGAGUGCAGGAGAGGAAGGUAGAAUUCCCGGUGUAGCGGUGAAAUGCGUAGAGAUAGGGAGGAAUACCAGUGGCGAAGGCGGCCUUCUGGACUGACACUGACGCUGAGGUGCGAAAGCGUGGGUAGCAAACAGGAUUAGAUACCCUAGUAGUC